GCAUCUCUCAUUCUGAAACCCUCAUGUAAACUAACUGCCUAUAUCACAUGUUUCCAUGGUAUCCUAGGAGAUCUCCAUCCUGAAGUAAUCCAAGCCAAGCCAAGGUAUAUUCAUUAAGCACCUACCAUGUGCAAAGCACUGUGCUGGAUGCUGGGGAUAUAAAGACAAGAUCAAGAAGUUUAAAUUCUACUAGACAUGGAAGAUGUAUGUGUGAAUGAUGUGCAGCAGAUACAGUCUGUCAACAGAUAAGUACACACAUGAUCAUUUGAGUAGAGAUCACAAAAUUUGAGAGUCAGGAGAGACCCCAGAAGCCAUCCUCCCUAUACUAUAGCUGACAAGUAGUCUCAAGCCACUACUUGAAGGUCUCCAAAAGGGGCUCCCACUACCUCCUGAGGCAGCCCAUUCUAAUUUGGGACAGCUCUAAACAUGAGGAAGUUUGCUUGAUAUCCAGUUUAACUUUGCCUCCUUGCAACACCCACCCACUGCUCAUGAUUCUUUCUACCCUUUAGAGUCAAGUAGAAAAAUCUGUUACCUUUCACAUAUGAGAGGCCUGAAGAUACCUAUGAUGGGGUCUGGGGGCUCGAGCACACACCCAUAAAAGCUACAGAUGUUUCCUUCCUAGGCUCUGACCAACAAUGCUGGGCCAGGGGGGGAUGCUGUGGGGGCCUUUCUUCUCUACAGGAAUCACCAGCUGGGCACUCCAUCCUGGGGAUGUGAAAAAGAUGGUGACACACCUAUCAAGAGCCAGGGGAUGCUGGCCAGCCACUUAGAGCUCUGAAGGAUCUACCCAGGCUAGACUGUGACUGUGUAAGGAUGAAGAUGACGUCACGAUCUGAUGAAGGAGGAAACCUCUUAAUGGCUCCUACAAAUGUUGGCCUAUACCCGUCAUUCAAUCCUGUGCCCUGGUUGGCAAGAGCACAUGACCAGCUGCUAGAUGUCCAGUUCUCCUCUGGGAUAAAUGCUCUUCAUUUUACAGAUGAAGAAACUGAGGCCAAGAGGCUAAGUAGUUGCUUAAGCUCACACAGCUAAACGUCUGAGGAAAGAUUUGAACAGAAUGCCCCUGUGCUAUCCAGAUGUCUGAGCAAAUCUAAAUAAAAAGUAAUAAUGAGAGCUAGUAUUUAUACA
RNAcentral lists this long non-coding RNA (1125 nucleotides) under Monodelphis domestica (gray short-tailed opossum). RNAcentral's name for it is "lncRNA (ENSMODG00000031334.2)". Lineage: Eukaryota; Metazoa; Chordata; Mammalia; Didelphimorphia; Didelphidae. The record is from RNAcentral.